AUGGGGCCUAUCAAUCAAGAAGAGAUAACAAUUAUAAAUGUUCAUGCACUGAAUUCAGAAGCACCCAAAUAUAUAAAACUAAUCACAAACAUAAGCUAUCUUAUUGGUAAAAAUGUGGUAGUUGCCAGG
Herpailurus yagouaroundi (jaguarundi) is the source of this 129-nucleotide long non-coding RNA. RefSeq lists it as uncharacterized. The transcript is spliced from 3 exons. The record is from RefSeq and is a predicted model, not a curated record. NCBI's taxonomy places the organism in Eukaryota, Metazoa, Chordata, Mammalia, Carnivora, Felidae.